AGGUAGGUAGGUAGGUAGAGAUAGACAGACAGACAGACAGACAGAUAGAUAGGUACAGACAGACAUAAUUAAAGCAAGCAAGACAGGAUCUUCUUGCUGGCGUUUCAAAGCCAGCUAGCCCUCUUCCAAAGCCCCAUAAGGACCCAACUCUUUCCCCCUGAAGCCAAGGGCCCACCAGGACCCACAGGAGGCCAGGCGUUCCCUCCGCUCCGGUCCACGUGGCACCAGGCUGGGGAAGGGCGAUGCCCAGGGCCGGCUCCGCGGAGGGGGUGGAUGGGAUGCUUCUGACCCGCGGGGAGGAGGGGAGGCGCAGAAAGCCCUUCCAUACGGCCAGGGGUCCUUUCAACUUCCUUUUGCCCGGGAGGGAGGAGGGGUCUUCUUCUCCCUCUGGCGGCCCCCGGGGGAAGCUUCCCGCAAGACCCCCGUCCUCGGAAGGCGAGAAAAGCAGGCGUGGUUGGGGGCUCCCCAGCCGGGAGGACAAUUUCCCCUUCUGGCCAGCUUUUUUUGGGGGGGUCUCCCAGGGAGACCCAGGCCGGCCAUAGAAAUGACCCAUGUGUACCUUACCUUCCCAGGAAGCGCCCGGCCUCGGUUCCAUCCCCUCUUUCCGUGGAAACGGCGGGAUUUGGGAAGGUGGGGGGAUGCUGCUGAGUGAGGGGGGGACACGAGGCUUUCCUUCCUCCUUCCACCCACCCCCCGGCCCAUAUUUCUCUCCCCCCCCCCCUUGGAAAGGAUCCAGGCUCCGCCAAACUCUUCCGCUCUGUCCUAAGAUGCCCUCGCUCCCCCCGACUUUUGCGGAGUUUUUGCAAAGGGGUCUCCCCUCUAGUUCCCAGGGUUGUACUGUGAUCAUCAAACCCUCCAGCUUGGAGAGGGGGCUGAGCUCCGGUUCUUGAACCCGCCUCCACCAGAUCUCAUUUCCCUAAAAGAAAAAAAGAAUAAAAAGUGAGGGGGAGCGAAAGAGAGAGAAGGAGAGAGAGAGAGAGA
Molecule: long non-coding RNA, 981 nt
Organism: Thamnophis elegans (Western terrestrial garter snake)
Lineage: Eukaryota; Metazoa; Chordata; Lepidosauria; Squamata; Natricidae
Exons: 2
Source: RefSeq, a predicted model, not a curated record